GACGAACGCUGGCGGCGUGCUUAACACAUGCAAGUCGAACGGAAAGGCCCUGCUUUUGUGGGGUGCUCGAGUGGCGAACGGGUGAGUAACACGUGAGUAACCUGCCCUUGACUUUGGUAUAACUUCAGGAAACUGGGGCUAAUACCGGAUAGGAGCUCCUGCUGCAUGGUGGGGGGUGGAAAGUUUCGGCGGUUGGGGAUGGACUCGCGGCUUAUCAGCUUGUUGGUGGGGUAGUGGCUUACCAAGGCUUUGACGGGUAGCCGGCCUGAGAGGGUGACCGGCCACAUUGGGACUGAGAUACGGCCCAGACUCCUACGGGAGGCAGCAGUGGGGAAUAUUGCACAAUGGGCGGAAGCCUGAUGCAGCAACGCCGCGUGCGGGAUGACGGCCUUCGGGUUGUAAACCGCUUUCGCCUGUGACGAAGCGUGAGUGACGGUAAUGGGUAAAGAAGCACCGGCUAACUACGUG
This 468-nucleotide ribosomal RNA is filed under the name uncultured bacterium. RNAcentral describes it as "partial 16S ribosomal RNA". It matches the Rfam family "Bacterial small subunit ribosomal RNA", at positions 28 to 507 of the family's 1533-position model. The record is from RNAcentral.